AUGGCUUGUGGAGUCCAUUUGGGGAUAUUCCUGCUUUGCUUCAUUCAAGCAGAGCAUGUGCGCUGUUUGUGGGCUUCACAAGCUCAGAAACAAAAUGACAACACAUAUGUUGGCUUCUCGCAACAGCAACGUGGAUUCGGUCACUAUCCCCAGAAUCAAGUCAGACAGGCCUCUCCGAGCUCAGCGCGGAGCAGUAGCCUCAGCGCACAGAGUGCAGUUAUUGGAGGGUCUAGCCGGAGACUGAAUCAGGUCAAUGCACAAAAGAGUCCAACUGGGCAUAUUUUUGGCCUUUCCUCUUCUAUUGUUAGUGGCAGUUCUAUGAGUAAGUACGAUCAAAGCAGCAAAACACCAGUCUAUUCUCCCGCAAUGCAGUCUUCCACGCUUUUUAGUGAAAGUGCCCCUGUGCCUCACAAAAGCCCUCCACGGACCAAGACAUCCUCCAGUGCCAUGGGUAAAAGGGUGUCUAAAGAGUUUAAAUCUUCCACUUUCAGCAAACCCCAUGCAGGCUUACAGCCACGCCGUCACAAGUUGAGCUCCACUAAGCAGAUUCCCAGCAGUACGAACUCUCUCCAAGCAUCCUGGAACAGAGAGGGUAACCUCCAUGCCUCCGGGAGUGGAAGUGCAGGAACCUCUGGUAAACUCUUUGCCCCAACAAAAACCCACAACAUCCCUCAGCGUUUCGGUGGCGCAAUUAUCAGACGGCUGAAAAAUCCUGUUAACCAGAUAAUGAGUGUCGGGAAGCCCCAGCGCAAGGCUUCCCAGCAGACCUACGUUCCUCCCCAGCGCAAGGCUUCCCAGCAGACCUACGUUCCUCCCCAGCGCAAGGCUUCCCAGCUGGCCUACGUUCCUCCCCAGCGCAAGGCUUCCCAGCAGGCCUACGUUCCUCCCCAGCGCAAGGCUUCCCAGCAGGCCUACGUUCCUCCCCAGCGCAAGGCUUCCCAGCAGACCUACGUUCCUCCCCAGCGCAAGGCUUCCCAGCAGACCUACGUUCCUCCCCAGCGCAAGGCUUCCCAGCAGGCCUACGUUCCUCCCCAGCGCCAGUCUUCCCAGCAAGGCCUACGUUCCUCCCCAGCGCCAGUCUUCCCAGCAGGCCUACGUUCUUCCCCAGCGCCAGUCUUUCCAGCAGGCCUACGUUCCUCCCCAGCGCCAGUCUUCCCAGCAGGCCUACGUUCCUCCCCAGCGCCAGUCUUCCCAGCAGGCCUACGUUCCUCCCCAGGGCCAGUCUUCCCAGCAGGCCUACGUUCCUCCCCAGCGCCAGUCUUCCCAGCAGGCCUACGUUCCUCCCCAGCGCCAGUCUUCCCAGGAGGCCUACGUUCCUCCCCAGCGCCAGUCUUCCCAGGAGGCCUACGUUCCUCCCCAGCGCCAGUCUUCCCAGGAGGCCUACGUUCCUCCCCAGCGCCAGUCUUCCCAGGAGGCCUACGUUCCUCCCCAGCGCCAGUCUUCCCAGCAGGCCUACGUUCCUCCCCAGCGCCAGGCUGCACCUUACAAGCCACUAGCCCAGAGUGUUCAUCCAGAGAGCAAAUGGUUGAAGGUCUAGCCAAGCGGAGACAGUAGCUGUUGAGUAGACUUUGCUUUCUUUGUGUAUAUAUUCUUAAAACUAGUUUCUAAUAUGUCUUAUUUUCUUAUCGGUGCAGCAGGUGUCUGAGGAUUUGUUUUUUUCUUAAAUAAAAAGAAUGACUUAUGUGUAACUUCGCCUCAACUGUGUGACUGCCAGGUGUAUGGAUGUAGACUUGGUGCCAUCUACUGUCUAAAAGGGUGUAUUGCAAAAAAUGUCUUAAAAUUCUCAUACUAGAUCUAAACUCACAGAUUCUGAACGAUCAAGUUUUACUUGAUACAAAUGUUGCCUCCAUAUGCAAAUGCUGACUUCCAAGUUUUGAUCUUUGGUAAACUAGUACAAGGGAGACUCCUGCAAUGUGCAGCUGGCUUACAAGAUUUACAAUAUCUGAAGCUUGACUCUUUAGCAAAAGGUUUUAAGUGUUGGUUUACUUCACAGCCAUCCUUUUAGAAUCAUGGCUUUUAUCAUGUGUGGGGAAACGCUCAAAACAAGCUAGCACAAUAGCUUAGUGACAUCAUAUUGACUUUUUUAAUAAACCCGGCUGUCAAAUGAAUCAGUGUUAAAUUUGACCACCUUUGCUGCUUCGUUAGAAUCUUGUCUCUCAAAUCCAAAGAGUUGGUAUAAAUACUAAGUUCAGUCUUAAAGGCUCUUGGUGUACUUGAGUACACAUUGUCAGGCAGAAAAUAACAUUUAUAUAAGCUUAAUGUAAUUUAUCCUCACUGACUUUCUUGUGUAUCUUCUCCAACUCUUUCACCUGUAGUCUAAACGUUCCCUCUGUAAACCUUGAUUCCAAUAUGUCAAAGUGACAAUUUGACCAUCUUGAACAUUGACAUGUUCAGAUUUCUUAUCUUGGAAUGUAGCAAAUGAACACUGAGGGCCUUGUUUUCAUAUUAAACACAAAAUAUUGUCUUAAUAUAAGAUAUGCAAAUAUACUUUUUAUAAUUGCUCUAUUUGAACUUCAACUAUUUUCUCAGUUUAUGUAAGCACCAAUAAAUCUAGUCCUGAUUGUCGUCUACUCUAUUUUGGCGUUGGGACAUUUCUUGAUGCGUUGAACAACCAAACAUCUGUUUACAU
This 2629-nucleotide long non-coding RNA is filed under the name Cottoperca gobio. RNAcentral describes it as "lncRNA (ENSCGOG00000001284.1)". Lineage: Eukaryota; Metazoa; Chordata; Actinopteri; Perciformes; Bovichtidae. The record is from RNAcentral.